GAUUGCAGUGUCAGAUUAGACAUCAAGCAUGUUCCGAGGCUCCAACGCUUUAUUGGUGCAACAUGCCUUAAGGAAACAAAUCAAUGAGCUUCAAGAUAGACAUUGAAAUCCCAAAAUCUAUGGGAUGCCUGAGAUCGAUCGGAUGAACUCUGAUAUUCUGAAAUGGAGGAAAUUAGAUGCCCGGCUAGAUCCUCCCUCUCUUGUCAGUGGCAUUGUAUUAGAUCCCAUGCUGCCCCAACACCCACUUUUUCCCAUAUAUUUGUUCUUGUUCCAUGCUUCAAAUAGGAAAUAGUGCAAAAAGAGCUGUCGAAUCCAAACCAUGGUCCCUAAUCUCCCUUAGUAGAACAGUUGUGGUUGUUGGUGGCGACGAUCUAAGCUUCUUCUCUCUAUUACCAACCCCUGUCUCUUGUUAGAUAAAUCACACAUAUAAAGGCACGCAUUGAAACUAAUAGCAUGCAUGGCUUUGAAAUAUUAUGCAUCCUUGUACCAAAAAAGAUAUUAUGCGGUCCAAUAUCAGCACUGGUAGCAGAAGAAUGAAUACAAGUCUU
Molecule: long non-coding RNA, 548 nt
Filed under: Phoenix dactylifera (date palm)
Lineage: Eukaryota; Viridiplantae; Streptophyta; Magnoliopsida; Arecales; Arecaceae
Description: long non-coding RNA (PDAC_LNC001088)
Source: RNAcentral